CAGUAGCCGCGGUAAUACGUAGGGUGCGAGCGUUAAUCGGAAUUACUGGGCGUAAAGCGUGCGCAGGCGGUUGUGUAAGACAGGUGUGAAAUCCCCGGGCUUAACCUGGGAACUGCGCUUGUGACUGCACAGCUAGAGUAUGGCAGAGGGGGGUAGAAUUCCACGUGUAGCAGUGAAAUGCGUAGAGAUGUGGAGGAAUACCGAUGGCGAAGGCAGCCCCCUGGGCCAAUACUGACGCUCAUGCACGAAAGCGUGGGGAGCAAACAGGAUUAGAUACCCCGGUAGUCCCUGUCUCUUAUAC
RNAcentral lists this ribosomal RNA (301 nucleotides) under uncultured bacterium. Its description in RNAcentral is "partial 16S ribosomal RNA". It matches the Rfam family "Bacterial small subunit ribosomal RNA", at positions 509 to 807 of the family's 1533-position model. The record is from RNAcentral.